UACGUAGGGUGCAAGCGUUAAUCGGAAUUACUGGGCGUAAAGCGUGCGCAGGCGGUUUUUUAAGACAGAUGUGAAAUGCCCGGGCUUAACCUGGGAACUGCAUUUGUGACUGGAAGGCUAGAAUCUGGCAGAGGGGGGUAGAAUUCCACGUGUAGCAGUGAAAUGCGUAGAGAUGUGGAGGAACACCGAUGGCGAAGGCAGCCCCCUGGGAUAAUAUUGACGCUCAUGCACGAAAGCGUGGGGAGCAAACAGG
RNAcentral lists this ribosomal RNA (253 nucleotides) under uncultured bacterium. Its description in RNAcentral is "partial 16S ribosomal RNA". It matches the Rfam family "Bacterial small subunit ribosomal RNA", at positions 524 to 776 of the family's 1533-position model. The record is from RNAcentral.